This 90-nucleotide ribosomal RNA is filed under the name Escherichia coli. RNAcentral describes it as "partial 23S ribosomal RNA". It matches the Rfam family "Bacterial large subunit ribosomal RNA", at positions 2836 to 2925 of the family's 2925-position model. The record is from RNAcentral. Lineage: Bacteria; Pseudomonadati; Pseudomonadota; Gammaproteobacteria; Enterobacterales; Enterobacteriaceae. RNAcentral also lists the same sequence under 1 other name.
CCUCAAAGAUGAUGAGGUUAAUAGGUUCGAGGUGGAAGCAUGGUGACAUGUGGAGCUGACGAAUACUAAUCGAUCGAAGACUUAAUCAAA